RNAcentral lists this ribosomal RNA (482 nucleotides) under uncultured bacterium. RNAcentral describes it as "partial 16S ribosomal RNA". It matches the Rfam family "Bacterial small subunit ribosomal RNA", at positions 30 to 505 of the family's 1533-position model. The record is from RNAcentral.
AUUGAACGCUGGCGGCAGGCCUAACACAUGCAAGUCGAGCGGAUGAAGGGAGCUUGCUCCUGGAUUCAGCGGCGGACGGGUGAGUAAUGCCUAGGAAUCUGCCUGGUAGUGGGGGAUAACGUCCGGAAACGGGCGCUAAUACCGCAUACGUCCUGAGGGAGAAAGUGGGGGAUCUUCGGACCUCACGCUAUCAGAUGAGCCUAGGUCGGAUUAGCUAGUUGGUGGGGUAAAGGCCUACCAAGGCGACGAUCCGUAACUGGUCUGAGAGGAUGAUCAGUCACACUGGAACUGAGACACGGUCCAGACUCCUACGGGAGGCAGCAGUGGGGAAUAUUGGACAAGGGGGGAAAGCCUGAUCCAGCCAUGCCGCGUGUGUGAAGAAGGUCUUCGGAUUGUAAAGCACUUUAAGUUGGGAGGAAGGGCAGUAAGUUAAUACCUUGCUGUUUUGACGUUACCAACAGAAUAAGCACCGGCUAACUUCG